UACGAGGGGGGCGAGCGUUGUUCGGAAUUAUUGGGCGUAAAGGGUGCGUAGGCGGUUUGGUAAGUCUUAUGUGAAAUCUACAGGCUCAACUUGUAGUCUGCAUGAGAAACUGCCGGGCUUGAGUAUGGGAGAGGUGAGUGGAAUUCCUGGUGUAGCGGUGAAAUGCGUAGAUAUCAGGAGGAACACCUGUGGCGAAAGCGGCUAUCUGGACAGAGUCUGACGCUGAGGCGCGAAAGCUAGGGGAGCAAACAGG
RNAcentral lists this ribosomal RNA (253 nucleotides) under uncultured bacterium. RNAcentral describes it as "partial 16S ribosomal RNA". It matches the Rfam family "Bacterial small subunit ribosomal RNA", at positions 524 to 776 of the family's 1533-position model. The record is from RNAcentral.